AAUGCCGGAUGUUCCAGUUGAUCGCAUGGUCUUCUGGGAAAGCUUUCGCGGUAUGGGAUGGGGUCGCGUCCUAUCAGCUUGACGGCGGGGUAACGGCCCACCGUGGCUUCGACGGGUAGCCGGCCUGAGAGGGCGACCGGCCACAUUGGGACUGAGAUACGGCCCAGACUCCUACGGGAGGCAGCAGUGGGGAAUAUUGCACAAUGGGCGCAAGCCUGAUGCAGCGACGCCGCGUGAGGGAUGGAGGCCUUCGGGUUGUAAACCUCUUUUAUCGGGGAGCAAGCGUGAGUGAGUUUACCCGUUGAAUAAGCACCGGCUAACUACGUGCCAGCAGCCGCGGUAAUACGUAGGGUGCAAGCGUUAUCCGGAAUUAUUGGGCGUAAAGGGCUCGUAGGCGGUUCGUCGCGUCCGGUGUGAAAGUCCAUCGCUUAACGGUGGAUCCGCGCCGGGUACGGGCGGGCUUGAGUGCGGUAGGGGAGACUGGAAUUCCCGGUGUAACGGUGGAAUGUGUAGAUAU
RNAcentral lists this ribosomal RNA (517 nucleotides) under Bifidobacterium longum subsp. infantis. RNAcentral describes it as "bacterial SSU rRNA". It matches the Rfam family "Bacterial small subunit ribosomal RNA", at positions 165 to 697 of the family's 1533-position model. The record is from RNAcentral. Lineage: Bacteria; Bacillati; Actinomycetota; Actinomycetes; Bifidobacteriales; Bifidobacteriaceae.